GGUAGUUGUAGGUCAGUGGGGAAGCUGUUGAACUAGUGAUGGGAAGGUUGUGAGUUCAAAUCCCAGCACUGCCA
Molecule: non-coding RNA, 74 nt
Organism: Pangasianodon gigas (Mekong giant catfish)
Lineage: Eukaryota; Metazoa; Chordata; Actinopteri; Siluriformes; Pangasiidae
Source: the annotation of a GenBank genome assembly